This is a long non-coding RNA of Bradysia coprophila, 525 nucleotides long. NCBI's taxonomy places the organism in Eukaryota, Metazoa, Arthropoda, Insecta, Diptera, Sciaridae. The record is from RefSeq and is a predicted model, not a curated record.
UUCACGUGUAAAUUGAACCAAGUAUUACACGUAAAACUGUCAUAUAUGCACCGUAUCUAAUCUGUUGAUAUAUUCGGAAACAUGAACAUCAUCGCCCAGAGGUACGAUAGAGUUGUGUUCAUUUAGCUUAACAGCUCUGAUAAAAUCGUGCUAUUAUAUCGAUUAUGUGCGGAUUAACUGCAUUAUCGAAGCACUCUUCUGCACUAUGUGUACAGUAGAGAAAAAUACUUUGGUCUUCUGAUUUUAGUUGAAGACGAACUAAUUUUUGGAGUUAAAUUUUCCUUUCAAGGCACAGCACCAAUGGGUGACUAAGCAAUUUUCUGUCAUCUAAAGACUAAAAUAUUCAUAGCUCACAAGCGCUACGAAUAGCUAGAAAAUUGGAUGGAAAUAGCGCCUCCGACUCUACAAGAGAGAGCAACCUUUCCAAUCAAACGUUCGCAUAAAUAUCUCGAUAAAUGUUGCGAAUGCCGUGAAAAAAUUAUACGUGGACACAUCGAAGUCACAUACAUUUAAAUAAAUUAAACA